Long non-coding RNA from Ictalurus punctatus (channel catfish), 2158 nucleotides. The record is from Ensembl. NCBI's taxonomy places the organism in Eukaryota, Metazoa, Chordata, Actinopteri, Siluriformes, Ictaluridae.
CCUGUUGCUGCUGUGGUUAUUCCUCUGAUUUCUGUAGUUGUUCUAACCAUUGGAGUAAUAUUUCUAGGAAUAGAAGGAGCAUUAGUUGUUUCAAAUGAUGUAGUGGUUGUUGAAACUCCUACAAAAGAUGCAGCGUUUGGUGUCUGUUGUUUGGUGGGCGUAUGUUUUUUGGUUGGUGUAUGUUCUUUAGUUGGUGUAUGUUUUUUGGUUGGUGUCUGUUGUUUGGUUGGUGUAUGUUCUUUAGUUGGUGUAUGUUUUUUGGUUGGUGUCUGUUGUUUGGUUGGUGUAUGUUUUUUGGUGGGUGUAUGUUUUUUGGUGGGUGUAUGUUUUUUGGUUGGUGUAUGUUCUUUAGUUGGUGUAUGUUCUUUAGUUGGUGUACGUUCUUUGAUGGGUGUAUGUUCUAGAGUUGGUGUAUGUUCUUUGGUGGGUGUAAUAUUUUCAGGAAUAGAAGGAGCAUUAGUUGUUUCAAAUGAUGUAGUGGUUGUUGAAACUCCUACAAAUGAUGCAGUGGUUGGUAUCUGCUGUUUGGUGGGUGUAUGUUUUUUGGUUGGUGUAUGUUCUUUAGUUGGUGUAUGUUUUUUGGUUGGUGUCUGUUGUUUGGUUGGUGUAUGUUCUUUGGUUGGUGUAUGUUCUUUGGUGGGUGUAUGUUUUUUGGUUGGCGUAUGUUCUUUGGUUGGUGUCUGUUGUUUGGUUGGUGUAUGUUCUUUAGUUGGUGUUUGUACUUUGGUUGGUGUAUGUUUUUUGGUUGGUGUAUGUUCUUUGGUUGGUGUCUGUUGUUUGGUUGGUGUAUGUUCUUUGGUGGGUGUAUGUUCUUUGGUUGGUGUAUGUUCUUUGGUGGGUGUCUGUUGUUUGGUUGGUGUAUGUUCUUUGGUGGGUGUAUGUUUUUUGGUUGGCGUAUGUUCUUUGGCUGGUGUCUGUUGUUUGGUUGGUGUAUGUGUUUCAAAUGAUGUAGUGGUUGUUGAAACUCCUGCAAAAGAUGCAGUGGUUGGUGUCUGUUGUUUGGUGGGUGUAUGUUCUUUAGUUGGUGUAUGUUUUUUGGUUGGUGUUUUAAAUGAUCUAGUGGUUGUUGAAAGUUCGUCAGAUGAUGAAUCUGAUGUACACUCUGGAGUAAUAGUUUCAGGUGUUAAAACAGUGUUCUCUGAUAAAGUGAAAGCUGUUUCAUCUGUGACUGUUUCUAGUGUAGAGGUGAGUGUAGUGGUUUUAACAUUAGUUGUAGCAGUAUUAUCUCCUGACCCCCCUGCUGCUGCUGUGGUUAUUCCUCCGAUUUUUGUAGUUUUUGAAGUUGGAAUACUUGAUGUUGUGGUUCUUAAAGCUCCUGCCAGUGAAGUAGUUAUAACCAUAUUUUCAGGAAUAGAAGGAGCAUUAGUUGUUUCAAAUGAUGUAGUGGUUGUUGAAACUCCUGCAAAAGAUGCAGUGUUUGGUGUCUGUUGUUUGGUUGGUGUAUGUUUUUUGGUGGGUGUAUGUUUUUUGGUGGGCGUAUGUUUUUUGGUUGGUGUUUGUACUUUAGUUGGUGUAUGUUCUUUGGUGGGUGUAAUAUUUUCAGGAAUAGAAGGAGCAUUAGUUGUUUCAAAUGAUGUAGUGGUUGUUGAAACUUCUGCAAAAGAUGCAGCGUUUGGUGAAUGUUGUUUGGUGGGUGUAUGUUUUUUGGUGGGUGUAUGUUUUUUGGUUGUUGUAUGUUCUUUGGUUGGUGUAUGUUUUUUGGUGGGUGUAUGUUCUUUAGUUGGUGUAUGUUUUGAGGUUGCUGUAGAUGUAGUACUUUUUGGUUUAGUAGUAGUUCUAGGAGUAGAAGUUGUUUCUGAAGUUGGAAUACUUGAUGUUUCAUGUGUUUCACCGACACAGAUGGAGUUUUGAUUUGACAUCAUUCUUGGAGAUGGCCUGUAAGUUUCAAGGUUAUUGCCAGGUUUUCCCAAUUCCGUCGAAGAAUCAUUCGUGUGACUCUCUCUUUUGGUCAGAUGUUUAGCUUGAUUUUUGGCACAGAACACCUUUCCCAUGUACAGUUUAUCCAAUGUAUCAAUAUACUGAAGCAAAAGCACAGACUGAUGCUGCAGAGAAGACAAAAUGAAAAUGUACAUUAAUCACAGCAUGAUGACACAUUAAUCUAGGAUUUUAAAUAUAAUCACCUGACCCAAAUCUGUCCAAACACUGAAACAGAACUGGC